CCGGAAGUGGGGGGCUGCGGCGGCAGGUGAGGGCCGCCUGCCUGGCCGGACCCCAGGGGUGUCGGACGGUGGGCAGGGCCUCCUGGGAUCCCUGAGGCGCCGGCAGGAGGAGACGCCCUGGGGUCGGUGCCUCCACCUUCCCGUCCGGGCGGUUACAGCUUUCCCGCGUUCGCUGUCAGAGGCAGGGACCGGCGACCUCGGGGGCCUGGUCCCUGAGCCACAGCGGGGAGUCGUCCGAGCAUCUCGGGAUGAGGAAGACCUUUGUCUGCAGACAUCCAGGCCAGCAUCUUUCCAUGUCGUCAUCUUCUUUCCUGGCCCUACCCUGCCUGAGGAUCUUCACUAAUGAAAUGUUGUAGAGCCCCACAGUUCUGCGUAUUUAUUUCACUGUGGAUUUGGGGGUUUUCACAUUUCAUGUAAAAUAAGGAUGUUUUGUAGGUUAUGCUUUUAACCUGCUUGUUUUGUUCAAUAUUGCUUAUGGAAAGAGCUAUGAAGAAUUAAAAGCAUUAUUUUUAGCUAAAAGUAUAAUUUUAAUUAUCGCAUCAUUACUGAAAGUUGAAUCAUAUUCAAUUUUAUGUUAAUGUCAUUAACUACAGCGAUCACUUGCUUAUGUAUUUUUAAACAUGAGUCUAAAUAAUCAAUGUAAAACUUUGUACUUUGUCGCUUACAAUUAAUGUUAUCGCACUUCACCUAGGUAAUGCCUUAGCACUCAGCUAAAAACUAAGCUACUUUCAAGUCCCAUGUUGUCCCAUUGUGGAUUUGCUUCAAAAUUUGAAAGCAAAAUUUCAAUAAAAUUUCUUCUUAGGGAGUCUGUGCUGAAUCAAAUCUGCAUUUAUACCAUAUGACGUGACUUCUGAGUAGAUGCUAACUCUUUGAAAGCCUUGAUGAAUUCCCUAUGAUAAAGACUAGUGUUCUCUAGGAAAAAUCCCAGCUUAGAUGCACAGCUUAAUCUGUUGGCACAGAACUAUCGAAAAGCAAAAUAAAUUUCACAACCUAAGGGAUAGGCAAAGGAAGGAUCUGAAUAGAGUUUUUUCAAAGAAGCUCCCCGAGUGGCCAAUGAGUACCUAAAAAGAUGGUCAACCUCGUUAGCAGUCAGAGACAUACAGCUUAGAUCCUCAUUGAGAUACAACUGCAUCCUCCUGAAGGGGCUACAAGCAAGAGGACAGAUAAGAGAUAACACAGAGUGAGAGUGUGGGGAAACUGGAACCAGAUACGCUGCAGGGGGGGAAUGUAAAAUGGUGCAGCUGCCUUUGAAAACAGUCUGGCAGCUUUUCAAAGAAUUAAAUGCAUAAAGGGCUUUCAUGUGAUCCAGCAGUUCCACUCCUGGAUGGAGAAAUGAAGAUACACUUACUCAACAAGAAAAAGACAACCAGUUUAAAAGUGGGCAAAAAAUUUGAAUAGACUUCUUUUUCCAAAGAAGGUAUGCAGAUGGCUAUAAACACAGGAAAAGAUGCUCGACAUCCUGGAGUUCUGACUAGGAACCAUGAACUUGCAGGUUCAACCUUUGGCCUCGCUCAGUGGGUUAAGGAUCCGGCAUUGAUGUGAGCUGUGGUGUAGGUCUCAGAUGUGGCUCGGAUCCUGCAUUGCUGUGGCUCUGGCAUAGGCCGGCGGCUGCAGCCCCAAUUAGACCCCAGCCUGGGAACCUCCAUAUGCCACGGGUGCAACCCUAAAAAGAAAAAAAAAAAAAAAAAAAAAAAAAAGAUGCUCAACCUCAUUGGUCAUUAGGGAAGUGCAAGUCAAAACCUCAGUGAGAUACCACUUCACACCCAUGAGGAAGGCUGUCAUCUAAGUCACAUGGUAGCAAGUGUUGAGGACGUGGAGAAAUCAGAAUCUGUGUACAUUGUUGCUGGGAAAACAAACGGCAUAGCCACUUGGGAUAAUACAGCCUGACAGUUCCUCAGUAGGUUCUCCGUAGAGUUACCAUGUGAUCCAGCAGUUCCAUUCCUAGGGCUGUACCCGAGAGAAACGAGAGUGUCCACAGAGAAGCUUGUCCAUGAACAUUCAUAGCUGCAUUAUUCACAGUAGCCAGAAAGCAGAAACAGUUCAGGUGUCAAUUAACUGAUUAAUGGAUAAAUAAAACGUAUAUCCAUUCAGGGGAAUAUUGGCCAUAAAAAGGAAUUGAUCCGUACUACAAUGUGGAUGAACCCUGAAAACAUGCUAAGUGAAAGAAGCCAGUCACAGAAGAUGACACAUUUUCUGGUUUCAUUUGCAUGAAACAUCCAGAAUAGAUAGAUCCACAGAAACAGAAAGUGCAUCUGUGGCUGCCUAGGGCUGGUGCAGGAAGUCAAGAGAAAUGACAGGUGACUGCUGAUCGGUACAGAGUUUACUUCUGGGGGGCAGAAUGAAAAUGACCCAAAAUUUGUACAACUCAAUAUACUAAAAAACAUUGAACUGUACAUGUUAAGCAGAUGAAUUAGAUGGUAUGUGAAUUGUAUCUCAAUAAGCCUGUUAAUGCGGGUAAAGUUAGGAAGGGCACCUCUCCGAGACCAGAGGUGACAGGUCACAGUGUGGCACAGAGACUGCUCAUCACCUCCCAGUAGCUGCUCUUCCCGUGCGUAGAUUGGAGGACACGGCUACCGGAACAAAGGCUGCAUUGUCCAACCCCCCAUGCAGCUUGGUGUGACUUUGUGACUGAUUCCGGGCAAUGAGAUGUCAGUGGAAGCGAUGCGUCUAACUUCUCAGUGGCCUUACCAGUCAUGAGCAAGCCCUUCCCUGCGUGCUGGAAUGCAGAUGAGAUGGCUGGAACUUGAACAACAUCUUGGGUCGUGAGGUACAAGCCACAUGUCGAAGCCAACCGAGCAACAAACCAGGUGGAGUCCCAUGUCCCUACUGGAUGUGGAGCUGCCAUCCUAGCCCUGGAUUCACUCUGUGACGGGGAAACAAACUUCUACCUUGUGUAACACAGUGUGUGACUUCGGAGUUUCUGUCACAUGCCUUCCUACGGAAUUCAAACCAACAGGCAUUAAUGUGAAUAUAGAUUAGUUAAGUUAAGGGAACUAGUGUGCCUGGCUUGUUCGUAGCUCAGAAAAUGAUAGCUCUUCCUACUCACUGAUUCCUCUUGUGCUUCAAAAAAAGCAGCCAAAGUAAAGUGUUACUAGUUCAAAAAAUAUAUUUAUAGAAGGGAAAUUUGGGGUUAUAACAUUUCAAAAGUGUACUGUAAUAAAGUAGCUUGAAGUUUAUG
Molecule: long non-coding RNA, 3178 nt
Filed under: Sus scrofa (pig)
Lineage: Eukaryota; Metazoa; Chordata; Mammalia; Artiodactyla; Suidae
Description: lncRNA (ENSSSCG00040002955.1)
Source: RNAcentral